GCUUAUAUCUGAUACAUCAUUUAUGGUUGCAUUACAUAUGUUUUUGAAAAGGAAAACCACAUGCACUAUUAUCAACUUACAUUGUAUGGCAUAAUUGCAAGUUUUACGUCGACUUCAUUAUGAAGCAAGUCGAUUAAAACUUGUGACUAUGCACAUAUUUUCAAAAGCAGUGCCGUGAGUGAUUUUGCAUUGAAAAUUUUUUCAAAUUGAGCUGAUGUGCCUAAGUCGACUACAUGCGUAGUGGAUCCGACUUAGUUAGUUGUUAUGUUUGAAAUUUUGUUAUGCUUGUGUACAGUAACGACUAUAUUUCAAAAGUUAGUUAAAUCAUUGAUGAUAGUCAACUGUAUUAAAUGCAAAAUCAAUUUGGUUGUUGUUGACUGCUAUUGUUUGACUUAACUGUUAUAACUGUCUAAGGACAGUCGACUCUAUUAGUAUCCUAGUCGACUAUAGGAGCGUUUGAUUUAUAGAAAACUAUAAAUAGACUUGCGUCAGUUCAUCACAAAAACUUUGGUUAUUCUAACACUUUCAUUUUGAUUUACAGAUCGUGAUCUCUGAGAAUUUUCUCCAAGAACUCAUGAAGAAGACCGUGGUGAUCUAUCUUUGAAGAGGUUCUUUGAAGGAGAAAGAUUUUUGUGCUUACUGGUUGAUCAUACUCUGCAUAUUGUGGUGCACAUCUGCUGAUCAAGAUUUCUCUAAAUCUUUGUAAAGAUUGUGGUUGUUAUCCUGCUAGGACUGCAAUGGGUUGACUCCUGAAGUCUAUACACUUUGAGGAUUGUUAAAAGUGGGUUGAAGAUUGCAGAAGAGGGGAUAUCUUGCUGCAGAUCUUGUUGUGUGUAUUGCCUAUAUUUUGGUUAGAGGGUUAGAGAGGUGUUUUAUACUUUUGAAGUGGAGGUCUCUAUAAAAGCCUUGUUGUAAAAACCUUGACCAUUAUAGUGCAUUUGCUUUCGGAUUGUGGAAGGACACUGGAUGUAGGCAUUGAGGCCGAACCAAUAUAAAAAUUUGCGUUUGAUUUCUCUUUCCCUACAUUUUUACAUUAAGUCGACUUUACUGCUUUCAUAGUCAACUUUGUAUUUUUCGUUGCAAAUAAAAUUUUAAUUCCUUGUGAUUCAAGAAACUUUGUAAAGGUUGAUACUUUGCAAUAAAGAUUUUAAAACAAGCCAACCUUUUU
RNAcentral lists this long non-coding RNA (1168 nucleotides) under Vigna radiata. Its description in RNAcentral is "long non-coding RNA (VRAD_LNC005045)". The record is from RNAcentral. Lineage: Eukaryota; Viridiplantae; Streptophyta; Magnoliopsida; Fabales; Fabaceae.